AGUGAACGCUGGCGGUAGGCCUAACACAUGCAAGUCGAACGGCAGCACAGUAAGAGCUUGCUCUUACGGGUGGCGGGUGGCGGACGGGUGAGGAAUACAUCGGAAUCUACUUUUUCGUGGGGGAUAACGUAGGGAAACUUACGCUAAUACCGCAUACGACCUACGGGUGAAAGCAGGGGAUCUUCGGACCUUGCGCGAUUGAAUGAGCCGAUGUCGGAUUAGCUAGUUGGCGGGGUAAAGGCCCACCAAGGCGACGAUCCGUAGCUGGUCUGAGAGGAUGAUCAGCCACACUGGAACUGAGACACGGUCCAGACUCCUACGGGAGGCAGCAGUGGGGAAUAUUGGACAAUGGGCGCAAGCCUGAUCCGGCCAUACCGCGUGGGUGAAGAAGGCCUUCGGGUUGUAAAGCCCUUUUGUUGGGAAAGAAAAGCAGCAGGUUAAUACCCCGCUGUUCUGACGGUACCCAAAGAAUAAGCACCGGCUAACUUCGUG
RNAcentral lists this ribosomal RNA (492 nucleotides) under uncultured bacterium. Its description in RNAcentral is "partial 16S ribosomal RNA". It matches the Rfam family "Bacterial small subunit ribosomal RNA", at positions 29 to 507 of the family's 1533-position model. The record is from RNAcentral.